This is a non-coding RNA of Callithrix jacchus (white-tufted-ear marmoset), 14249 nucleotides long. The record is from RefSeq and is a predicted model, not a curated record. Lineage: Eukaryota; Metazoa; Chordata; Mammalia; Primates; Cebidae.
CCCGGGCUUGAGCCCCGCGCCAUGGCCGGGGCCAUCGCUUCCCGCAUGAGCUUCAGCUCUCUCAAGAGGAAGCAACCCAAGACGUUCACCGUGCGGAUCGUCACUAUGGACGCCGAGAUGGAGUUCAAUUGCGAGAUGAAGUGGAAAGGGAAGGACCUAUUUGAUUUGGUGUGCCGGACUCUGGGGCUUCGAGAAACCUGGUUCUUUGGACUGCAGUACACAAUCAAGGACACAGUGGCCUGGCUCAAAAUGGACAAGAAGGUGCUGGAUCAUGAUGUUUCAAAGGAAGAACCAGUCACCUUUCACUUCCUGGCCAAAUUUUAUCCUGAGAAUGCCGAAGAGGAGCUGGUUCAGGAGAUCACACAGCAUUUAUUCUUCUUGCAGGUAAAGAAGCAGAUUUUAGAUGAAAAGAUCUACUGCCCUCCUGAGGCUUCUGUGCUCCUGGCUUCUUACGCCGUCCAGGCCAAGUAUGGUGACUACGACCCCACUGUUCACAAGCGGGGAUUUUUGGCCCAAGAGGAAUUGCUUCCAAAAAGGGUAAUAAAUCUGUAUCAGAUGACUCCAGAAAUGUGGGAAGAGAGAAUUACUGCCUGGUACGCAGAGCACCGAGGCAGAGCCAGGGAUGAAGCUGAAAUGGAAUAUCUGAAGAUAGCUCAGGACCUGGAGAUGUAUGGUGUGAACUACUUUGCAAUCCGGAAUAAAAAGGGCACAGAGCUGCUGCUUGGAGUGGACGCCCUGGGGCUUCACAUCUAUGACCCUGAGAACAGGCUGACCCCCAAGAUCUCCUUCCCAUGGAAUGAAAUUCGAAACAUCUCAUACAGUGACAAGGAGUUUACUAUUAAACCACUGGAUAAGAAAAUUGAUGUCUUCAAGUUUAACUCCUCAAAGCUUCGUGUUAAUAAGCUGAUUCUCCAGCUAUGUAUCGGGAACCAUGAUCUAUUUAUGAGGAGAAGGAAAGCUGAUUCUUUGGAAGUUCAGCAGAUGAAAGCCCAGGCCAGGGAGGAGAAGGCUAGAAAGCAGAUGGAGCGGCAGCGCCUCGCUCGAGAGAAGCAGAUGAGGGAGGAGGCUGAACGCACGAGGGAUGAGUUGGAGAGGAGGCUGCUGCAGCUGAAAGAAGAAGCAACAAUGGCCAAUGAAGCACUGAUGCGAUCCGAGGAGACGGCUGACCUGUUGGCUGAAAAGGCCCAGAUCACCGAGGAGGAGGCAAAACUUCUGGCCCAGAAGGCUGCAGAGGCCGAGCAGGAAAUGCAACGCAUCAAGGCCACAGCCAUUCGCACGGAGGAGGAGAAGCGCCUGAUGGAGCAGAAGGUGCUAGAGGCCGAGGUGUUGGCCCUGAAGAUGGCUGAGGAGUCAGAGAGAAGGGCCAAAGAGGCCGAUCAGCUGAAGCAGGACCUGCAGGAAGCGCGUGAGGCGGAGCGAAGAGCCAAGCAAAAGCUCCUGGAGAUCGCCACCAAGCCCACGUACCCGCCCAUGAACCCAAUUCCAGCACCGCUGCCUCCUGACAUACCAAGCUUCAACCUCAUUGGUGACAGCCUGUCUUUCGACUUCAAGGAUACUGACAUGAAGCGGCUUUCCAUGGAGAUAGAGAAAGAAAAAGUGGAAUACAUGGAAAAGAGCAAGCAUCUGCAGGAGCAGCUCAAUGAACUCAAGACAGAAAUCGAGGCUUUGAAACUGAAAGAGAGGGAGACGUCCCUGGAUAUUCUGCACAACGAGAACUCCGACAGGGGUGGCAGCAGCAAGCACAAUACCAUUAAAAAGCCUCAAGCCCAAGGCAGAAGACCUAUCUGCAUUUGAGUCCUCAAAGUAGGUUGUUCCCAGGUACUCUCUGUGUGGUGAUGGUACUGCCCUCUGUGAUACUAACCCGUGCAUGAGCUUGCCUGUCUCUGUCCUUGGGCCACACUGAGCCCUCUCGAGGGCAGGUGGUGCCUGGGUACUGGCCGCAGCAUGCUUUGAGUCUAAGGCAGGCAUCCGCCCUGUGGAGCCAGACCAGCCUCCAGGGACCCAGAAGACUGCCUCGUUCCAAAGAGCAUGUCAUGGGGCUGUAGGACCAGCCAUUCUUUCCAUCUCAUGUCAUUCUUGGGCUGGGGAAGGUUAUGGCUUCUUGUCCAGUCAGGUGUGUCUAAAAGUCCUUUGUCUUGGUGGCGUAUUCCUUAGAUAAAUAACCCUAGCAUGGAAAUGGGGUCAAUCUGGGCACUUUUGAGACUGGUAUCUUUAACUCGAGAUCAAGACCUUUCAUGUGGUGACAGCCUCUCAAGACCCAUGGUCACACCUGGCAGCUUCUGUUGUCGGGUGAAGGGGUUGCCUGUGCUGGCUCAUUUUCCUUUAGAGCUUCCCCUUUCUAUACACAUCCCUUUUCUUUUCAAAUAAAGCAAACCCAGAGCACAGGGUUCUGAUGUUUGAGUCCAUGGGGAGUGGCCUGUCUGCUCAUCUGUGCUCAGCCGCCUCUGCUUCAGCUUCCUCUCCACAGGCUGAGCGGAGAUGUGGUCGGAGUGAACUCACAGUGGAACAGUGCAGUCACAGCACCCCUGAGAGGAGCGGUCACUGGUUGCUGAGUGAAUUAACUGAAGUUUGCUGCUUUUCUUCUGCAACAGUUCAUUAUUCUUUCAGCAUGCCUAGGCAGGGGAGAGAAUUUAUUUUGUCCAGUAAUAAAAUGACAUCCUGCCUCUUCUUCUCACCUAAUCCUCAGUAGUACCCAUGCCAACAAGCCCCCACCACCUGCCAGCAGCCUGGGAUGUGUUCUCUGGAGUCUUCCCCGCAGUUUCUGCCUGUAGAAUAGAAUAAGCUCAUUGGAAGCUUCCUACCAAAAAGAGAUCUGGCAUAAGAUAGGUCCUACUUGUGGUUGUUAUGCCAUCAAGAGAGGUCAGCUGUUAAAGUCCCUGAUAGAUCUUAUUAUAAGGUACACUCGAGCUGUCAGUGGUUCCAAGAAUCCAUGGCAUGAACCCUGUUUCAUAUGUGACACUUUCUAUUUAGCAGGCUCCUGUUUCUUCAGCUUUCAUACCCACAUUGGCAUUGAUACCCUGACACAGAACAGUGCGUGCUUUAAGCAGGGCAGUUACGGCCAGCAUUAUGACAGGCAGGCCAGUUCACGGCACCCAGAACAGCCAGGUGGAUCCACCUUGGUUUACUGAACUUUGUGAACCACGGGGGCAAGCAGAAAACCCCGCUGUAUUCCAGCCAGUGCUGCCAGGUGUUCCCUCCAUGGGCAGAUGCUGCUCAACCCCAGUGUGAUUUCCUUUUGCUUCUUUCUAUAAUGAAAGAAUGCUUAAAUUCUUAAAUUCUUCAGGUCCUGAUUUUGACUGUCAUUUCUCACUGGGCUUUUACUACAGACAAAAGAAGUUUCAUUUUUAGUUAAAUUUGCACUGCUCUGAGGACAUACAUGGAUGCAUUUAUUUGUUCGCUCAUUUCAAUGUCUUGAUGUGAACUUGUUUUUAAAGCAGGCUGCCAGGCAGUUAAUCAGAUACUGGUUAAUCAAGGGUUAGUAAAGGCAUGGACUUGAUAUUUAAAUGACAGGUGUUCUCUCAGCAUCGCUAGAUUAAAUAACGCUGCACGAUUAAAUUCUGCUGCACAUGAAGUUCACUGCACGUUCCAUUUUCUAGACUUUGGCAGUCCCUGUGGUCAGUGACCGGGACUGAUGACCAGCCACAUGCCGGCACCAGGGUGGCUCUGGGGUGGUGCAUGCUGUAGUCUGGCUGACACAAGCCUAGCUGAAGAGAAGUGCUGCUUUCGGCUUGGAUGUGGGGAUAUCUAGAUAUCAAGGGCAGAACUCCAUCUAGAAAGCCUGCGGAUGAGAGAUGCAAAGGCUGGUAGUGAAUGGAACAGUUUCCAGUGUCCCAAAAGCUCGCUAAUCUGGGUUCAAAGCAGCCUGCAUUGGUGUUAGUUUUGUUUUGUUUUGAGACAGUGUCUCUCUCUGUUACCCAGGCUGGUGUGAUCUCAGCUCACUGCAGCCUCCACUUCCCAGGCUCAAGUGAUCCUCCUGCCUCAGCCUCCCAAGUAGCUGGGACUAGCCACCACACUCAACUGAUUUUUGUAUCUUGUGUAGAGAUGGGGUUUUGCCAUGUUGCCCAGGCUGGUCUUGAACUCCUGGGCUCAGCCGAUCCUCCCACCUCUGCCUCCCAGAGUGCUGGGAUUACCAAAGUGAGCCACUGUUCCUGGCCUGUUUUGUUUUUAAUAUGGUUUUUUGUUUUGUUUUUUUUUUUUUUUGAGAGAGGGUCUCAGUCUUUCACCCACAUUGGUGACAGCCUCGACCUUCUAGGCUCAUGCAAACCUCCCAACUUAGCCUCCCAAGUAGCUGAGACUACAGGCACAUGCCACCAUGCUUGACUGAUUUAUUUUUGUUUUUGUAAAUAUGGGUUUCCCCAUGUUGUCCAGGCUGGUCUUGAACUCCUGAGCUCAAGUGGUCUUCCCGCCACGGCCUCCCAAAAUGCUGGGAUUACAGACAUGAGCAGUCUUGCCUGGCCAUUGUAUUUGUCCUCACUUUCAGUACUCUUCUGCCUCACUGAGAGGUCUCAGAGUAUGCUGUGUGGUUUCAGCAGUACCCAUGGGGGCCAUGUAACAAGAAGCUAGUUCAAGGGGUUUGCCCUUAGGUUAUGAGGGGUAACUCCAGUCCCUCAGGAAUGCUGAGUGGCCAUCCACUCGGAUUAACUGAGGUUCCCACUUCUCGGCCACUGUCUUUCUCUACAAUUCUUACUCUCUUGAGGCACAGUGUCCUCACCUGUAAAAGGUGAAUAAAAACAGUCUUUGCUCCCCAGGACUGUUGUGAGGAAUAAAUGAGGGAGUGUGCAUGAAACACUCAGCGCAGUCAGAGGGCAGCAGGGGCUUAAAACUCCACAAAGGGAAAAUCUGCUGUGGUUCCGCAGCACAGGGCCAAGGACGGUGUCAUGGGCCACACUGCCACAUCUAGGUGCACAACUUGUGCUGGGCAUAUUCAUUCAUUAUAUUAAUUGCUACGUGGCUAGAAGUAAAAACUUUCAAAAAGCUAUAAUUAACUUCACUAGUUCCUUGUAAUAUAUGACUUGGCUUUGCAAGGAUAUUUUUUCUCCUCUUGCUAAUCUUAACUUCCUAUAUUUCCAUUUUUCCCAAUUGAUGAUCAGUACAACUAGUUUGGCAUUUGCAUCUGAGUCACAGCAGUGCUAGCAAUCAAAAGCCGCCCUGGGGAACCUGGAUUUGUUUCAUUCUCAGAGGGAGUGACACGUGUUCUGACAUCUGAGCCUUCUGAGUGAAUGGAGUGAAUCUGGCAGUCAGGCUGGGAUUGGGGGACACAGGGUGCCUUGAGCCUGACUUUCGUGCUUUCAGAGCCACAGUGCUGAUGAUGGGAGUGGUGGCUUGGUGUGGCAUAACUGUGCCACCACACCUUGGAGCUGAAAAUGCAGUCCUGGAUAUAUACAUUCAGGGUCUUGCUUUCAUCUCUUGAGAGGGGUUUCAGUCUCCCAAUCCUGCACUGGUCUGAGUGCCAGCAAACAGAGUCAUCAUUUGCGUGCCUGUGGUCUCCCAGGGAGCACAGGAUUUCCAAGGAAAUUGAUGGAUGAGAAAUCAUGGGGGUGGUGGAGCUUAGAAAGCUUAUUUCAUUAGUAAAUGGUUUGAACCGUCAAGGUCCAGCUGUGGUUUCCACUGAAGGAGGAACAGGAAGAAGAGGAGCCUUGCAUUUAUCUCAAGCGCCAGCAGCUUCUCUUGGAUCAGGAAGACAUAAAAGUUCAAUGUCAUCUUCAAUUUGUGCAGGCUCCCUUUGGGGAUGCAGAGCUGGUGAAGUGAAGUAGAACAGUUAAAAAAAAACACGAGGGGAAGUGAUAAAUCACAGAGAGAGAUUGCAUAUGCGGGAAAGGUGUCUCCCACAAUUAAAACAAGUGGUCAGAGCCUCCGUGGCAACCUCUGGUCUGCAUUGCCAGCCUGGAAGAUGGCUGCUAAAUUACUUAAAUUUAGUAGGUAGUUAACAUGCCCAUCCCUCCUUAUGACCCCAGUGGGCCAAAUGGCUCUGCUUGCUUUAGGAACUGGGCAUUGUAUUGUAGAGCAUCCUCAGCCUUGACAUAAAAGGUAGCACACUGGCUCCCCAGCCCUGAACCUUCCCUUUCUUGUUGCUGGAGCAAGGCAGGGGUAAGAUGGGGAAGGAAAGAAAGAGGAGUGGGGAGUGGGGCGGGGAGCAAGAAUGUACAGGGAGCAGCAGCACCACCACCAGAUGUGGGCAUAGCGCUCAUGGAAGAGAUUGCCGUGGCUAUCGGAACUCUGACUCUCCACCCACUGGCUCUGUGGACGCACAGGGAAGGCAUUAGGAACUGCAGGUAGCGCUUCUCCAGGAUAUAACACCUUGGGCUCAUCCCUGAAGGCCACUCCCACCACUCACACACACUGGAUGAGUCUUGUCACUGUUGAGAGCUUAGUUUUCUUGUUUCUGGUAGCUCUAGAUAGAAGAAUGUAUCGGCCUCUUUUCCAAAAGUCUGCAAGCCAAUCCUGUUUUGGGUUAAGAGACUUUACCCGGUCAAGCAGUUGUUGUUUGGGAGGUGUAGAAGAGCCUGCCUGGCCUGCGGAGGGUAUUUUACGACCAUUUGGAAGUGCCUGAGGAUAUUACCAGGCCUUAUUUGAUGCAGUAAAACAUCCCAUUUGGCCCCUCGGCACUGAAGAUAUGUUUGAGUGCAGCUCUCCUCCAGCACUGGAUUUGCUGCUGCAGCAGUGGGAGGGAAGAGCCGGGAUGCAAACUCAUUCUGCGGGCCGAGGUUCUGUUCUCAUGAUCUUUGCUGUGAUUUCUCUUUUGAUGUUGGCAAUUUUAAAAUGACAUCAGUCUAUCUGGACCUUUUUCCUAAGGCACUUGCUCAGACCACUCAGUAGAUACCAUUUAGCCGCCACCUGCCCAGUGAGGUGAAUCAGGCCCAUUAGGCCAUUUGUCAGGCGAAGGAAUGGAGGAUUGAGGGCCCCGCCGGCACCACAGGGCAGCCUGAGAAACAGGCAGACAGGUUUCCAGGCAGCUUCUGCCGCUUUGGGUUCCUCAGGGAUUAAUACGCAAAAAGGGUUCCUUGGGUUUUCCACGGCAGAUUUCUCUUGAGAGCAGAUAAAGUAGCUAAUACCAAAUUGGAUUUGUUCUUUGGGGUGGACUUGGCCUUUCAUUCCACCUCUGUGUAGGGUAAGUGUGUGGAUAGUGCUGCCACUGUGCACAUCAGCAGAUGGCAUUUGGGUGCAAGCUGUCCCUAGCGAGACUGCAGAAAAGCUUGAUCUGGCCACCUCACACAGCCAUCCCCCUUCACUGGCCCUUCCUCUUGGCUCAUUUGGAAGGGGGAAGGUUUCCCACACCCCAAACCAAAGAUCCUUUUGGAAUUUGCUGCUACUGGAUUCAGCUGUCACCUUUCUGCUCCGAGUCUGCUUUCUCCCUGUGGAUCUGCGUGCCAGAGAAUCUGCGUGUCCUUUUGUGUCUACACCCUCCCCCGCUCCUUCAUUUUCAAUAUGUAGUAGCAAAGAGGAAGUAUAACAUGAUUUUAGGGCUCGCAUUUCAAUUCCACUGCAUUUUUAUGGGACAAGCCGAGACCCAGCGCCUGGAGUUAUUAGGUUAGUAUCUAAAAUGGGUUCAGCGCUAUGAGUCUUAUUGUUUAAAAUGAAUGAGAUGGUCCUCUGCCGCCUUCUUUUCUCCUCCCUUGGGAUGAGUGGAUUGAGGCAAAGCCCCCAGAGACGAGCUGAAGGAAUCCUGGCGCUCUGAUUAGUUUUGUUCCCUGGCUUAAUUGUACAUCUUCCUUUCUCUCACCACUGAUAGCCAAAGUGGCUCUGUGUCUCCCCCCACCUCCCCUUGCUUUAGGAACAAGAUGAUCACAAUGCAGCCUUGUGAAUCAAUUUUCUCUCUGUGCUGAUGAAAGUGUAAUUCAUUCUUAAUCAAGCAGCCUUGCUGCUGCAGGCUUCAUGCCGGAAUACAUUUAGUUACCCUGCCAUCACUUUGGGAAACUAUCCCCCAAAAGGACUUUUAGAGGAGAGCUGGAAGGAGAGUUGGCAGUGUGCCUUGGGCUGUGGUUUUCCAGCAGGGGGCACUCUCAGGAACGAUGCUGGUGGAGGCUUUGUAGCUGGAAGCCUUCCUCUGCUGGCAGGGCAGCAGGGAAAUGUUUGUCACAGGGACCUUCCAGGCUUGCUUUCUCCAGACCCUGGGGCCAUUUCUCAGGAGUACCUUAAUGGCCCACCCAGAAUCCUCAGGUAGCAGUGAGCAGGAACAGUUGAGGCUGCAGAUGGCAUGCCUGGGUUAGAGAGUGCAGGCUGGGUACCAGUUUCUUUUAACCGGCCGCUUCUCUCUUUUUAAGUAGACAGAUGUGUCUCCUGAAUCUGAACUUGUUUAGAUCAGGUAGAUGUGUCUGUUUUUGUCACACCACGCACAAUUUGGGGAGCGUAAGGAGUCGUGGCUCUGCCAGAGUGGAACUCUCGUAAGUUCUCCCCUGCCCUCUCACAGCCUGCUGGCUGUCACAAACAGCUGGCAGUUUUAUGGAGAGGUGGGCAGGGGGAAAGGGACUCUGCCAGGGCUGAGUCUUGAUGUUGGGCAAGAAGAGCCAGGCCCCAACAAGUGGAUCAGCUGUGAAGAUGAACAGUAAGAUAGCAACAAAGCCUCACAGAUCUGCCCCAGAGGAAGAAAAGGAAGUUCAUCUUCAGAAUGGAAUUGGAUUAGUGACAGACUCGAGCAGCCGGUUCAGUUGAGAGAGAACUUAAUUCCUCCUGUGUUAUUCACGCGGCUGAUUCUAAUCAGAUGUGAAGAGACAGCUGGAGAAGAGCAGUGGGUUAGCCCGUGCCUGGUGCGGAGGCUUCAUGUUCUUGUAGGCAUAUUCAGGGAGCUGGCAGGAGUGCUUUGGGUUGGAGACUCUGAGCAGGGCCCUUGGGUUUAUAGCCUGCCCAAGGAGCUGGGCCCGGCUGCAGGACUCCCAUGGUUGGACCUCGUCUAGAUUCAGUGAGAGUUGUUUUUUUUUUUUUUUUUUUUUUUACAGAGUUUCGCUGUUGUUACCCAGACUGGAGUGCAGUGGCACGAUCUCGGCUCACCACAACCUCCGCCUCCUGGGUUCAAGCAAUUCUCCUGCCUCAGCCUCCCGAGUAGCUGGGAUUACAGUCACGCGCCACCAUGCCCAGCUAAUUUUUGUAUUUUUAGUAGAGACGGGUUUCACCUUGUUGACCAGGAUGGUCUCGAUCUCUUGACCUCGUGAUCCACCUGCCUCGGCCUCUCAAAGUGCUGGGAUUACAGGCUUGAGCCACCGCACCCGGCCUUCAGUGAGAGUUUUGAAGGAGAGCACAUGGCAGAUGUCACUGGUCACACUCACCAGAGCGUGGCCCACUCGUCUUCAGGAUUCAAAGGCAGUUGACCAGACUUGGUAGGUCCCGGACUGGUGCAGACAUUGUCCUUGAGACCCUGCUUGUACACCCUGAGGUGCUCCUGCUUCAUCGCCUGCUGAAAUUUGGAGACCUCCUCUUCCUGGAUAACCUUCAACAUACACAUUGUAUGUGCUAGGAAUUCCCCACCCUCUGGGGGACUCCACUUUCCAAGCAGGCAAGGCUGGGAAGGGGAGGGCUGUUUCUGGAUUGCCAAAGGGAGCAUUUUUGUUUGGAAUUCGGAGAGGGGAUGGGACUCACCAGAGUGGCUUCAAGGCUCUCAACUCACAGUGCAACAUAGGACAAGGGAGGGCCUUCAUGGGACUCUCUCCACAGCACCUUCUGGCUCUAGCAAACAGGUGUUGCUGGGCGGUGUAGAGGGAGCCGGGCUGGUCGCUGUAUUGGAAGAUGUACCUAACACUGGCGGGCCUGCACACCUUAGGGUAUGAGAGCAUCACAGGGGAACCAGGAAACUUGUUAGCCAGUUUUCAUGUGUUUAAAAAGAAGACGUGGAGGCAGAGUUGAUUUUAUGAAGGGCUAGCUUUUUGCCAUUUCUUCUGAGCUUUUGCCUGUUCCUUUGUGAAUACUUCCUGCCUGUGGCUGUGUUGCAAAUGUGGCAGCCAGUGAGUUUUCUAGAAGCAGCAGAUGGUGAAAGAUCCACAGGUGAGGAGCCUGCCCACUGGAGGGGUGAGGCAGUGCCCAGGCAGGGCGUGCAGGUGGCAGAACUGUUUGCGUGCCCCAUGGGGAGGCUUCCCAAGCUUUCUGUAGAAAAACUGUCCAAGGGCGAAUGGCUGCCCUGAGCUUCUACCUGCAGGAAAGAAGCCCAAGGACUCUACUUGUCUCACUGCCUGCCUUCCUCACCUGCUGGGGUCUGAGAUAAAGGAUACAAAGAGGUGGAAGCAGAGCCAUGGGCGUGGCUGGAAGGGCCACUCCAGCAGCAGGGAGGACCAUUGUGCAGUCACUUCUGACUCCAGGGAUCCUGUGGGGACUGGAAACCACAGGAAUUUCACACGGAGGGUAAAGGGUGGGGCAGCAGCCAGGUCUGUCUGUGGGCCAAGCAGUGAUGGCAGAAGGCUUCCAGGGCCCUUGGGCAGCAGCCAUUACUGACCAGCGCAGCCAGGUCUCAGCCGCCUCGGUCUGCUUACCUUGCAGAGCGCCAAGUCCCGAGUGGCCUUCUUUGAAGAGCUCUAGCAGGUGACCCAGCCACCCUAGGACCUGCAACCUCUGCUCCCAGCACCGCCCGAUGGACCAGACACCAAGAGAGCCAUCCAUAGGGAGCUGGCUGGGGGUUUCCAUGGGAACUCCAGAACUUUCCCCAGCUGAGUGAAGAGCCCAGCCCCUCUUAUGUGCAAUUGCCUUGAACUACAACCCUGUAGAGAUUUCUCUCAUGGUGUCCUAGUUCUCUGACUUGAGUCUUUGUUUUAAGAAGUAUUUGUCUUCCUUUGUCUAAUGUGGGAUUCCUGACUCCCAUUGUCCGAGGCUCCCUGGGGUGUGUGUGUCUUGCACUCCAGAGCUGAUCUCCAGCACCCAUCCAGGGAAGCUGUUGUAGGGAGUGGGAUACUGAAGCCCUGAGAGGCCAGUGCCAUCAUCCCCACUCCACCCAGGGUUCCAGAACAUUCAUUGCCCCACAGGUGAGGACCUGGCAUGCAGUGAAGUAGCCCAGCCUGGCAGAGCCCAGGCCCAGCAUGACUGCCAGCUUCUCAUCGUUAGGGAGCCCGCCCAGAGCUCGUGACAAGCAAGUGUUGGGUCCCCGCCAGGCGCCCCGAGGCGGCGCUCUGGCUGGCAGCUGGUGGGGAAUAGGCAAGGCAGCUGUGGCUGGGAGAGACUUUAGGCAGAAGCUGUGAUGCAGGCUGACUGCCAGCCGAGGGGCUGGGAGGCAAGCAGUGCCUUGCAGGAACUGACGGUACGAGGCACUCAGUGUCCCCCUCCGGCUACCCUAGACCAGGGUCCAAGAGGCAGGUGGGAGCCACUCAUGUCUUCCCUAUUGCCCGGCAGCCAUAGGCACUCCUACCUGUAUGGCACUGGGCACUACCUGAUCGUGCUGUAGUUAGCACCCGGAACCCGCUGUGACCGAGGAUCUGGAAGCCCUGUGGCCCUACAGGUGCGGCUUCUCACUGGGCCAGACUCCGAGCUCUGUGGCCCACUCUGCACGGCCCAUCUGCUUCACCUUCCCUCCUGGCCACAUGCCAAUGGGCACAGAUCACUUCCCAACCCACUGUUGUACCCAGCCCUCACUUUGCUGUUGCCCUUGUCCCCCUUCGGGCCCUGAAUUUUCUGUUCCCCAGGGGCCAGCCAGGGCCCUUUGUGCCCCUCCCCGCACAGACUUGUUGCAGGUGUCCACUCACAGGUGGCGCCUCCAGCUGACACAGGACCCACCUCCAUACCAGGCAGAAGAAGGUCACAGAACCACCCCCACGGCUUACUCACUUCACUCCUUGGUUUUUGUUUUUGUUUUUGAGAUGGAGUCUCUCUGUUGCCCAGGCUGGAGUGCUGGUGCAAUCUCGGCUCUCUGCAACCUCCGCCUCCUGGGUUGGAGCGAUUCUCCUCUGUCAGCCUCCGGAGUAGCUGGAACUAUAGGAGUGCACUACCACACCUGGCUAAUUUUUUUUUUUUUUUUUUUUUUUGAGACAGAGUCUUGCUCUGUCACCCAGGCUGGAGUGUAGUGGACUGAUCUCAGCUAGUUCACUGCAACCUCCACUUCCCGGGUUCAAGGGAUUUUCAUGCCUCAGCCUCCCUAGUAGCUGGGAUUACAGGCGCCUGCCACCACGCCCAGCUAAUUUUUUGUAUUUUUAGUAGAGAUGGGGUUUCACUAUCUUAGCCAGGAUGAUCUUGAUCUCCUGACAUUGCAAUCUGCCCGCCUCAGUCUCCCAAAGUGCUGGGAUUACAGGUGUGAGCCACCACGCCCGGCUCUAAUUUUUUGUAUUUUUAAUAGAGACAGGGUUUUGCCAUGUUAGCCAGGUUGGUCUCAAACUCACACCUGGGAUUACAGGCUUGCACCACCACCACCGAAGCCAGCCCCUUCUUGCCCUUUCUUUUCUCCAUGGCUGAUGCUGCUGUGACCAGCCAGGGCCCUUGAGAUCCUUCCAGUUGGGCUAUUAUGCAAAGCAGGUGAUUCGUCUUAAUCAGAUAAAAGACUCAGUAACUGGAGGCACUAUGGGGGCCUAGAGAUUUUUGGAGAGCAGAGUUGGUCUCUGGCAAUUCCAUCUGGUUUUGAGAAGCUGAGAAGCUCACAGAGAUCCUGCCUUCUUCCCACUAUCAGGCUGACCUAAUGGGGUCAGGCUGCUCGGCACCUGCUUGGGCCACCUUGCCCCCAAGAAACCAGCCCUGGGUACCACCCAGCUGCUGAUGGUCUGCAGGGUGGGACUCCAGACCUGGAGCCUAAGUGUAGAUGCUGUGGCCCUGUGUCUUCCUAGUCUGUCCCAGCCAGGAGCAGAAGCUUCAGGUGUUUGUAAAGUGAGGUCUGACUCUUGUGUUGUGGCUCUGUCUCUUCAGUCUUCUUUUUUUUUUCGAGAUGGAGUCUUGCUCUAACGCCCAGGCUGGAGUGCAGUGACGCAAUCUCAGCUCACUGCAACCUCCACCUCCCGGGUACAAAAGUCUCCUGCCUCAGCCUCCCAAGUAGCUGGGAUUGCAGGUGUGUGCCACCACACCCGGCUAAUUUUUGUAUUUUUAGUAGAGACAGGGUUUUGCCAUGUUGGCCAGACUGGUCUCAAACUCCUGACCUCAGGUGAUCCGCCCACUUGGCCUCCCAAAGUGAUGGCAUUACAGGUGUGAGCCACCAAGCCCGGCCUCUCUUCUGUCUUAAAGCCCAUCCCUGGAUUUCCACCAGGAGUUACUUUCCUCCCGACCUGUAAAUUUAUUCUUUAAUAGUGACUGCAGGCCAGAGCAUAAUGGUGGUUUAUAAAAACUUGUGGUGCUUUGUUUCCUUAUUUAACUGCUGUGUGUACUUCUGAAGACUGGGAAGUGCCACGCGGCCUCAAGGGAGCUGGCUGGUGUUUGAGCUGUGGCAGAAGCACCUGGGGCUCCGGGGAGCAGGCUCAGGACUGCAGGACCUCGCGCAAUCACAAGCACUUCCCCCUCCUUGAGGCAGGAAUCCGAGGUGCCUCCCCCACAGACGGAGAAGGUGGAGAGGAGGAUGGGCCCCAGGUGGGUCUCAAGCCUCAGUAGCAGGAGAAAGAAAGAGAUGCCUGAUUUUCAGAGACUGGUGCCUGCGGCUGGGAUGACUGCAUCCUUUUUAAGUGAACGUUUUAGGGCCUGGGAGCUUGUCAAGUAAGGAAGUCUCAGAAGCCCAUAGAGUGGCAUCCUGCCCAUGGUGAUUUCAUCACGAGCCCUUCUGCUGGCUCUUGGGCAGAAGCCCCAUGGCACUGGGACCCUUCGUGAGGUCACUGCCCAGCUCAUGGUAUCUGCAAGGCUACCCUGUUGGCCGGUAGCCAUGCACAGCUGUGCAGCACAGACCGCUUCAUUCAUCCUGAUUGGGGUCCCAUGUCAGCCACAGCAGUCCCCAACCUGUGUUGUCCACCCCGUUAUCAAUGUACCUGCCAGGCCCUGCUGGACAGACCCCGUGGCAUCACAUAACACUUAAUGAGUGGCUGUGUCUUGUAAUUUUGGGGACAGGUUUCUCUCUCUUCCUCUCUUUUUCAAAAGCCCAGAGGCUGACAACCAGCCUCAGUGACUAAGUGUUCCUCACUGACAGGGCGGGGCCUCGCCACCCCUGGAGGAGCAGCCUUGGUAGGGAGCCAGCCUGGCCCAGUGGCCCUGGGGCCAAACCUGCCCUCCAGGGCUUUCAGGGAAGCGCCAUCCAUUUUCAAAGAUGUCAAAGUCACUUCUUCCUUUGGGCCCGAGUCCUGCCUCCUGUCAGGGCCAGACCGUGGAAGGCUAUUUUCUAUUCUGGGGAACUAUUGUAAUUUAAAUGAUUGUUUUAAUAAAAAUUCUAAGCUGGAAAA